AGAGUGAACGCUGGCGGUAGGCCUAACACAUGCAAGUCGAACGGCAGCACAGUGGUAGCAAUACCAUGGGUGGCGAGUGGCGGACGGGUGAGGAAUACAUCGGAAUCUACCUUUUCGUGGGGGAUAACGUAGGGAAACUUACGCUAAUACCGCAUACGCCCUUCGGGGGAAAGCCGGGGAUCGCAAGACCUGGCGCGGAUAGAUGAGCCGAUGUCGGAUUAGCUAGUUGGUGAGGUAAUGGCUCACCAAGGCGACGAUCCGUAGCUGGUCUGAGAGGAUGAUCAGCCACACUGGAACUGAGACACGGUCCAGACUCCUACGGGAGCAGCAGUAGGGAAUAUUGGACAAGUGGGCGCAAGCCUAGAUCCAGCCAUCGCCGCGUGUGUAGAAGGAACGGCCUUUACGGGUUAGUAAAGUCC
RNAcentral lists this ribosomal RNA (419 nucleotides) under uncultured soil bacterium. Its description in RNAcentral is "bacterial SSU rRNA". It matches the Rfam family "Bacterial small subunit ribosomal RNA", at positions 26 to 433 of the family's 1533-position model. The record is from RNAcentral.